GGUGGUGUGGGCGGCGGACGGCCGCAGCGCGCUGACGCUGCUCACGGAGGCGCAGCGCAGUGCGACCCGCGAUCCGUACGCGGCGCUGCUGC
RNAcentral lists this transfer RNA (92 nucleotides) under Kitasatospora griseola. RNAcentral describes it as "tRNA-Val". The record is from RNAcentral. Lineage: Bacteria; Bacillati; Actinomycetota; Actinomycetes; Kitasatosporales; Streptomycetaceae.